ACAACUUGUAUAGCUUCAAAUACGAUUUUUUGAAAUUCCAGUGGCAGACAUUGUCAUUUUAGAAAGUCUUAUGAUAUACGGAAAUUGGAACGAAAGAGCCUUUUCACUACCCUCUUCCUCCAGAUUCUUCAGUAAUUUUUCUAUCUCCAAAAGACACACCACCAGGACUGCCUAGUAUCCCCCCCUCAUCUGAGUAACACUUAAAAAUUGCUCUAUGAUGGUCCAUGCAAAGGAGGAACCUCAGGGGAAGAACAAAACCUACUGAAGUUCAUAUUCAAGUUGAAAAUUAACAUGAUGCAAGUAUCGAUACAGAACUGUAUUAUCUAAUUCAGUCUCUCUUUGUACACUAUAAAUCAAAAUUUCUCAGGCUGGUUUCUCUGUGAGAAUGAAUACAGAUCAGCAACA
Molecule: long non-coding RNA, 405 nt
Organism: Neofelis nebulosa (Clouded leopard)
Lineage: Eukaryota; Metazoa; Chordata; Mammalia; Carnivora; Felidae
Exons: 2
Source: RefSeq, a predicted model, not a curated record